GAAACGACUGCUAAUACCGCAUAAGCCCACGGGUCGGCAUCGACCAGGGGGAAAAGGAGCAAUCCGCUUUGAGAUGGCCUCGCGUCCGAUUAGCUAGUUGGUGAGGUAACGGCCCACCAAGGCAACGAUCGGUAGCCGGACUGAGAGGUUGAACGGCCACAUUGGGACUGAGACACGGCCCAGACUCCUACGGGAGGCAGCAGUGGGGAAUAUUGCACAAUGGGGGAAACCCUGAUGCAGCGACGCCGCGUGGAGGAAGAAGGUCUUCGGAUUGUAAACUCCUGUUGUUGAGGAAGAUAAUGACGGUACUCAACAAGGAAGUGACGGCUAACUACGUGCCAGCAGCCGCGGUAAAACGUAGGUCACAAGCGUUGUCCGGAAUUACUGGGUGUAAAGGGAGCGCAGGCGGGAAGACAAGUUGGAAGUGAAAUCCAUGGGCUCAACCCAUGAACUGCUUUCAAAACUGUUUUUCUUGAGUAGUGCAGAGGUAGGCGGAAUUCCCGGUGUAGCGGUGGAAUGCGUAGAUAUCGGGAGGAACACCAGUGGCGAAGGCGGCCUACUGGGCACCAACUGACGCUGAGGCUCGAAAGUGUGGGUAGCAAACAGGAUUAGAUACCCUGGUAGUCCACACCGUAAACGAUGAUUACUAGGUGUUGGAGGAUUGACCCCUUCAGUG
This 676-nucleotide ribosomal RNA is filed under the name uncultured bacterium. RNAcentral's name for it is "bacterial SSU rRNA". It matches the Rfam family "Bacterial small subunit ribosomal RNA", at positions 153 to 845 of the family's 1533-position model. The record is from RNAcentral.